RNAcentral lists this ribosomal RNA (254 nucleotides) under uncultured bacterium. RNAcentral's name for it is "partial 16S ribosomal RNA". It matches the Rfam family "Bacterial small subunit ribosomal RNA", at positions 524 to 776 of the family's 1533-position model. The record is from RNAcentral.
AACGUAGGGGGCGAGCGUUGUCCGGAAUGACUGGGCGUAAAGGGUGCGUAGGCGGCAUAAUAAGUUAGAAGUGAAAUACCCAGAGCUUAACUCGGGUGCUGCUUCUAAGACUGUUGAGCUUGAGUGCGGGAGAGGUUAAUGGAAUUCCUAGUGUAGCGGUGGAAUGCGUAGAUAUUAGGAGGAACACCAGAGGCGAAGGCGAUUAACUGGACCGUAACUGACGCUGAGGCACGAAAGUGUGGGUAGCAAACAGG